CCCGGAUAAAUGGGGAGGGUUGCGUCAGGAAUGGCAUCCGGCGUAAAACGUUUGCCAAAACGAACAUGCGAGUUGAUAAAACGAUUUCCAUACUGGAUCGGUCGGGGCCCAGGAUAAAAACGACCGCUAACAGUGCUGUUCACCUACAGGGUACAGGAGACAAAGUGGAAGGGCAGCAAGGCUAGAAACAUUGGAGGAGGCUACAAGCUGUUCUACCAUGGUGUAGAUGGGAAGAGGAAUGGAGUAGGGGUGAUUAUAAAGGAAAAAUAUGCUAGACAUGUCGUAGAAGUAAAACGAGAGUCAGACAGGUUGAUGUGCGUGAAGGUAGAGAUAGAAGGUGUGAUGAUGAAUGUAGUCAGUGGGUAUGCCCCACAGGUGGGCUGUGAGUUAGAAGAAAAGGAAAAGUUCUGGAAUGAGAUGGAUAGAGUGACAGAGAGCAUUCCCAGGGGGGAGAGGGACAGAGAAAGUAGUGAUGGGA
Long non-coding RNA from Hippocampus comes (tiger tail seahorse), 478 nucleotides. RefSeq lists it as uncharacterized. Lineage: Eukaryota; Metazoa; Chordata; Actinopteri; Syngnathiformes; Syngnathidae. The record is from RefSeq and is a predicted model, not a curated record. The transcript is spliced from 3 exons.